UACGGAGGGAGCUAGCGUUGUUCGGAAUUACUGGGCGUAAAGCGCACGUAGGCGGCUUUUUAAGUCAGGGGUGAAAUCCCGGGGCUCAACCCCGGAACUGCCCUUGAAACUGGAGAGCUAGAAUCUUGGAGAGGCGAGUGGAAUUCCGAGUGUAGAGGUGAAAUUCGUAGAUAUUCGGAAGAACACCAGUGGCGAAGGCGACUCGCUGGACAAGUAUUGACGCUGAGGUGCGAAAGCGUGGGGAGC
Molecule: ribosomal RNA, 246 nt
Filed under: uncultured bacterium
Lineage: Bacteria
Description: partial 16S ribosomal RNA
Rfam family: Bacterial small subunit ribosomal RNA
Source: RNAcentral